CCCUUAGAUGUUCUGGGCCGCACGCGUGCUACACUGAGUAAUUCAAUGGGUAAGGGAACGCUAGAGCAUUACCUAAUCUUGAAAUUUGCUCGUGAUGGGGAUCGACGGUUGCAAUUUUCCGUCGUGAACGAGGAAUACCUUGUAGGCGCAUGUCGUCAUCAUGCGCCGAAUACGUCCCUGCCCUUUGUACACACCGCCCGUCGCUCCUACCGAUUGAGUGAUCCGGUGAGGCUCUGGGACCUGGACGGAAAGAGCGUUUCGCUUGUUCUGUUUGGGAAACUUGGUCGAACCUUAUCAUUUAGAGGAAGGAGAAGUCGUAACA
RNAcentral lists this ribosomal RNA (322 nucleotides) under uncultured eukaryote. RNAcentral describes it as "partial 18S ribosomal RNA". It matches the Rfam family "Eukaryotic small subunit ribosomal RNA", at positions 1470 to 1796 of the family's 1831-position model. The record is from RNAcentral.